UACGUAGGGGGCGAGCGUUGUCCGGAAUUAUUGGGCGUAAAGAGCGUGUAGGCGGUUCGGUAAGUCUGCCGUGAAAACCUGGGGCUCAACCCUGGGCGUGCGGUGGAUACUGCCGGGCUAGAGGGUGGUAGAGGCGAGUGGAAUUCCCGGUGUAGCGGUGAAAUGCGCAGAUAUCGGGAGGAACACCAGUAGCGAAGGCGGCUCGCUGGGCCAUUCCUGACGCUGAGGAGCGAAAGCGUGGGUAGCAAACAGG
Molecule: ribosomal RNA, 253 nt
Filed under: uncultured bacterium
Lineage: Bacteria
Description: partial 16S ribosomal RNA
Rfam family: Bacterial small subunit ribosomal RNA
Source: RNAcentral